RNAcentral lists this ribosomal RNA (253 nucleotides) under uncultured bacterium. RNAcentral's name for it is "partial 16S ribosomal RNA". It matches the Rfam family "Bacterial small subunit ribosomal RNA", at positions 524 to 776 of the family's 1533-position model. The record is from RNAcentral.
UACGGAGGUGGCAAGCGUUGCUCGGAAUCACUGGGCGUAAAGGGCGCGUAGGCGGGGAGGUAAGUCGGGUGUGAAAUCCCUCGGCCCAACUGAGGAACUGCGCUCGAGACUGCUUCUCUUGAGUCCCGGAGAGGAAGAUGGAAUUCCCGGUGUAGCGGUGAAAUGUGUAGAGAUCGGGAGGAACACCGGUGGCGAAGGCGGUCUUCUGGACGGUGACUGACGCUGAGGCGCGAAAGCGUGGGGAGCGAACAGG